AUUGAACGCUGGCGGUAGGCCUAACACAUGCAAGUCGAACGGCAGCACAGUAAGAGCUUGCUCUUACGGGUGGCGAGUGGCGGACGGGUGAGGAAUACAUCGGAAUCUACUUUUUCGUGGGGGAUAACGUAGGGAAACUUACGCUAAUACCGCAUACGACCUACGGGUGAAAGCAUGGGAUCUUCGGACCUUGCGCGAUUGAAUGAGCCGAUGUCGGAUUAGCUGGUUGGCGGGGUAAAGGCCCACCAAGGCGACGAUCCGUAGCUGGUCUGAGAGGAUGAUCAGCCACACUGGAACUGAGACACGGUCCAGACUCCUACGGGAGGCAGCAGUGGGGAAUAUUGGACAAUGGGCGCAAGCCUGAUCCAGCCAUACCGCGUGGGUGAAGAAGGCCUUCGGGUUGUAAAGCCCUUUUGUUGGGAAAGAAAAGCAGCAGGUUAAUACCCCGCUGUUCUGACGGUACCAAAAGAAUAAGCACCGGCUAACUUCGUG
Molecule: ribosomal RNA, 492 nt
Filed under: uncultured bacterium
Lineage: Bacteria
Description: partial 16S ribosomal RNA
Rfam family: Bacterial small subunit ribosomal RNA
Source: RNAcentral